AUGAGAAGAUGAUGACGUUAUUUCGGGAAAUCAUGGAAAACUGAGAUGAUCCGCACUACCUCACUUGGUCCCUUUCUGUUCAUUAAGCUGUCACAGAACUGGUUAAAACUGGCAUUUACAUCAGCUAGAACUAUCAAAAUAGAUGCAUCAUUUUCUCCACUGGCUACUCCCAAACAAUUCAAUUGAACAAUUCAUUCAGGCAGCAAAUGUUUCCACCAAUAAAAUAAAAAG
Molecule: long non-coding RNA, 231 nt
Organism: Saccostrea echinata
Lineage: Eukaryota; Metazoa; Mollusca; Bivalvia; Ostreida; Ostreidae
Exons: 3
Source: RefSeq, a predicted model, not a curated record